UACGAAGGGGGCUAGCGUUGUUCGGAUUUACUGGGCGUAAAGCGCACGUAGGCGGAUCGUUAAGUCGGGGGUGAAAUCCUGGAGCUCAACUCCAGAACUGCCUUUGAUACUGAAGAUCUUGAGUCCGGGAGAGGUGAGUGGAACUGCGAGUGUAGAGGUGAAAUUCGUAGAUAUUCGCAAGAACACCAGUGGCGAAGGCGGCUCACUGGCCCGGUACUGACGCUGAGGUGCGAAAGCGUGGGGAGCAAACAGG
RNAcentral lists this ribosomal RNA (253 nucleotides) under uncultured bacterium. RNAcentral's name for it is "partial 16S ribosomal RNA". It matches the Rfam family "Bacterial small subunit ribosomal RNA", at positions 524 to 776 of the family's 1533-position model. The record is from RNAcentral.